GAUGAACGCUGGCGGCGUGCCUAAUACAUGCAAGUCGAGCGAACGGACGAGAAGCUUGCUUCUCUGAUGUUAGCGGCGGACGGGUGAGUAACACGUGGAUAACCUACCUAUAAGACUGGGAUAACUUCGGGAAACCGGAGCUAAUACCGGAUAAUAUUUUGAACCGCAUGGUUCAAAAGUGAAAGACGGUCUUGCUGUCACUUAUAGAUGGAUCCGCGCUGCAUUAGCUAGUUGGUAAGGUAACGGCUUACCAAGGCAACGAUGCAUAGCCGACCUGAGAGGGUGAUCGGCCACACUGGAACUGAGACACGGUCCAGACUCCUACGGGAGGCAGCAGUAGGGAAUCUUCCGCAAUGGGCGAAAGCCUGACGGAGCAACGCCGCGUGAGUGAUGAAGGUCUUCGGGUUGUAAAACCCUUUUAUUAGGGAAGAACAUAUGUGUAAGUAACUGUGCACAUCUUGACGGUACCUAAUCAGAAAGCCACGGCUAAUUACGUG
Molecule: ribosomal RNA, 497 nt
Filed under: uncultured bacterium
Lineage: Bacteria
Description: partial 16S ribosomal RNA
Rfam family: Bacterial small subunit ribosomal RNA
Source: RNAcentral